UAAAUACAUAUACAUUUUUUCUAAAUUAAACUUAUUGCUAUAAACAUUUCAAAUUUGAGGUCAGGGUCGUAGCAACGUCUACCGCACAUUUAGAAACAGGCGAGUCUGUCCCUUUGAACUGUGACCCAUCGCCGAUACUUCCGCCCGUCUUUCCUGAUUUGUUAAUCAGAGUUGAGUGAACUGAAGUUCAGCCAAUCGUAAGACGAAUCAUCUCCUGGGCGUGUCUCCUGUUGCUUUCGCCAUUUCUUGCGUUCGUUCGCUUCUUUGCUGUGUGGUGGUCCGGGGGGAAAUGCUCGAUUACGUUCUUAUUUCAAACAAACUCUGAAGAGUGACGGUUCUACUGAGAAGAACAGUCGUGGAGUUUAUCAGACUGACGGGAAGCUGAAGACAUGCUAUUGUUGGAAGAAGGCCUGGCUUCCUGUGCUGUUGUUUGGCUAGGCAGGGGCUCCUGUAUUCUGGGCUGUGCUGUGUACAACAGGGCUCUUGUUCCAUGUCCCCUCGUGACCGCACGGCCUCAUUUGUCUCCGUCAACACAUUAACACAUCAGAAAAGCCCCCUGCUGCUCUAAAAUGCUGGAGAAAGCGUUCCUUCCAUUACUGGUCAAGACACUACCCGCUACCCGCACUCACCCCAAAGUCCCGCCCACUGACGCUCGUCUGGACCCGGACUGCCAACUCGUCGGAUGUCUCAGAAGUAGAC
This is a long non-coding RNA of Puntigrus tetrazona (Sumatra barb), 699 nucleotides long. RefSeq lists it as uncharacterized. Lineage: Eukaryota; Metazoa; Chordata; Actinopteri; Cypriniformes; Cyprinidae. The transcript has 4 exons. The record is from RefSeq and is a predicted model, not a curated record.